GUGUCAGCAGCCGCGGUAAUACGUAGGGGGCUAGCGUUGCCCGGAUUUAUUGGGCGUAAAGAGCGUGUAGGCGGCCUGGUAGGUCUGCUGUGAAAACUCGAGGCUCAACCUCGAGAUGUCGGCGGAAACCGUGUGGCUAGAGUCCGGAAGAGGAGAGUGGAAUUCCUGGUGUAGCGGUGAAAUGCGCAGAUAUCAGGAAGAACACCAAUGGCGAAGGCAGCUCUCUGGGACGGUACUGACGCUGAGACGCGAAAGCGUGGGGAGCGAACAGGAUUAGAAACCCUCGUAGUCC
Molecule: ribosomal RNA, 292 nt
Filed under: uncultured bacterium
Lineage: Bacteria
Description: partial 16S ribosomal RNA
Rfam family: Bacterial small subunit ribosomal RNA
Source: RNAcentral